UUUGAUCCUGGCUCAGAUUGAACGCUGGCGGCAUGCCUUACACAUGCAAGUCGAACGGCAGCAUAGGAGCUUGCUCCUGAUGGCGAGUGGCGAACGGGUGAGUAAUAUAUCGGAACGUGCCCUAGAGUGGGGGAUAACUAGUCGAAAGACUAGCUAAUACCGCAUACGAUCUACGGAUGAAAGUGGGGGAUCGCAAGACCUCAUGCUCCUGGAGCGGCCGAUAUCUGAUUAGCUAGUUGGUGGGGUAAAAGCCUACCAAGGCGACGAUCAGUAGCUGGUCUGAGAGGACGACCAGCCACACUGGGACUGAGACACGGGCCCAGACUCCUACGGGAGGCAGCAGUGGGGAAUUUUGGACAAUGGGGGCAACCCUGAUCCAGCAAUGCCGCGUGAGUGAAGAAGGCCUUCGGGUUGUAAAGCUCUUUUGUCAGGGAAGAAACGGUAGUAGCUAAUAUCUAUUACUAAUGACGGUACCUGAAGAAUAAGCACCGGCUAACUACGUGCCAGCAGCCGCGGUAAUACGUAGGGUGCAAGCGUUAAUCGGAAUUACUGGGCGUAAAGCGUGCGCAGGCGGUUGUGUAAGUCAGAUGUGAAAUCCCCGGGCUCAACCUGGGAAUUGCAUUUGAGACUGCACGGCUAGAGUGUGUCAGAGGGGGGUAGAAUUCCACGUGUAGCAGUGAAAUGCGUAGAUAUGUGGAGGAAUACCGAUGGCGAAGGCAGCCCCCUGGGAUAACACUGACGCUCAUGCACGAAAGCGUGGGGAGCAAACAGGAUUAGAUACCCUGGUAGUCCACGCCCUAAACGAUGUCUACUAGUUGUCGGGUCUUAAUUGACUUGGUAACGCAGCUAACGCGUGAAGUAGACCGCCUGGGGAGUACGGUCGCAAGAUUAAAACUCAAAGGAAUUGACGGGGACCCUGCACAAGCGGUGGAUGAUGUGGAUUAAUUCGAUGCAACGCGAAAAACCUUACCUACCCUUGACAUGGAUGGAAUCCUGAAGAGAUUUGGGAGUGCUCGAAAGAGAACCAUCACACAGGUGCUGCAUGGCUGUCGUCAGCUCGUGUCGUGAGAUGUUGGGUUAAGUCCCGCAACGAGCGCAACCCUUGUCAUUAGUUGCUACGAAAGGGCACUCUAAUGAGACUGCCGGUGACAAACCGGAGGAAGGUGGGGAUGACGUCAAGUCCUCAUGGCCCUUAUGGGUAGGGCUUCACACGUCAUACAAUGGUACAUACAGAGGGCCGCCAACCCGCGAGGGGGAGCUAAUCCCAGAAAGUGUAUCGUAGUCCGGAUUGGAGUCUGCAACUCGACUCCAUGAAGUUGGAAUCGCUAGUAAUCGCGGAUCAGCAUGUCGCGGUGAAUACGUUCCCGGGUCUUGUACACACCGCCCGUCACACCAUGGGAGCGGGUUUUACCAGAAGUGGGUAGCCUAACCGCAAGGAGGGCGCUCACCACGGUAGGAUUCGUGACUGGGGUGAAGUCGUAACAAGGUAACC
Molecule: ribosomal RNA, 1492 nt
Filed under: Herbaspirillum huttiense
Lineage: Bacteria; Pseudomonadati; Pseudomonadota; Betaproteobacteria; Burkholderiales; Oxalobacteraceae
Description: 16S ribosomal RNA
Rfam family: Bacterial small subunit ribosomal RNA
Source: RNAcentral